This 300-nucleotide long non-coding RNA is filed under the name Glycine max (soybean). RNAcentral's name for it is "long non-coding RNA (GMAX_LNC002672)". The record is from RNAcentral. Lineage: Eukaryota; Viridiplantae; Streptophyta; Magnoliopsida; Fabales; Fabaceae.
UUAGUGAAUUUUAUCUAUGGUUCAGCCCACUAAUCCAAGACCAAUUCCAAGAUUCUCCACUAAUUAUGCUUAGGUGUCAUUAAGCAUGUAAAGCAUGAAUGACAUGCACAAAGUGUGACUAUAUGAUGUGGCAAUAGGGUGUAGCAAGAAAAUGCUCACCUCCCCCCCUCUAAAAUUUAAUUGGAUUGGGAUUCUCCCAAUUCAAUUAAAUUUAUUUCUCAACACACACAUCAAAUAUUCACUUAAUGCAUGUAAAAUUACAAAACUACCCCUAAUACAAAAACUAGUCUUGGUGCCCUA